Molecule: ribosomal RNA, 320 nt
Filed under: uncultured archaeon
Lineage: Archaea
Description: bacterial SSU rRNA
Rfam family: Archaeal small subunit ribosomal RNA
Source: RNAcentral
AGAGGCAGACGGUAUUUCCGGGGUAGGGGUGAAAUCCUAUAAUCCCGGGAAGACCNCCAGUGGCGAAGGCUGUCUGNUAGAACGCGCCCGACGGUGAGGGAUGAAAGCUGGGGGAGCGAACCGGAUUAGAUACCCGGGUAGUCCCAGCUGUAAACGAUGCAGGCUAGGUGUUUGGGCGGCCACGUGCCGCUCUAGUGCCGCAGGGAAGCUGUUAAGCCUGCCGCCUGGGGAGUACGAUCGCAAGGUUGAAACUUAAAGGAAUUGGCGGGGGAGCACCACAAGGGGUGAAGCUUGCGGUUUAAUUGGANUCAACGCCGGAA